This 433-nucleotide ribosomal RNA is filed under the name uncultured bacterium. Its description in RNAcentral is "partial 16S ribosomal RNA". It matches the Rfam family "Bacterial small subunit ribosomal RNA", at positions 29 to 507 of the family's 1533-position model. The record is from RNAcentral.
AGCGAACGCUGGCGGCAGGCCUAACACAUGCAAGUCGAACGGACCCUUCGGGGUUAGUGGCGGACGGGUGAGUAACACGUGGGAACGUGCCUUUAGGUUCGGAAUAGCUCCUGGAAACGGGUGGUAAUGCCGAAUGUGCCCUUCGGGGGAAAGAUUUAUCGCCUUUAGAGCGGCCCGCGUCUGAUUAGCUAGUUGGUGAGGUAACGGCUCACCAAGGCGACGAUCAGUAGCUGGUCUGAGAGGAUGACCAGCCACACUGGGACUGAGACACGGCCCAGACUCCUACGGGAGGCAGCAGUGGGGAAUCUUGCGCAAUGGGCGAAAGCCUGACGCAGCCAUGCCGCGUGAAUGAUGAAGGUCUUAGGAUUGUAAAAUUCUUUCACCGGGGACGAUAAUGGCGGUACCCGGAGAAGAAGCCCCGGCUAACUUCGUG